UACGUAGGGCGCAAGCGUUAUCCGGAAUUAUUGGGCGUAAAGAGCUCGUAGGCGGUUUGUCGCGUCUGCCGUGAAAGUCCGGGGCUCAACUCCGGAUCUGCGGUGGGUACGGGCAGACUAGAGUGAUGUAGGGGGAGACUGGAAUUCCUGGUGUAGCGGUGAAAUGCGCAGAUACCAGGAGGAACACCGAUGGCGAAGGCAGGUCUCUGGGCAUUAACUGACGCUGAGGAGCGAAAGCAUGGGGAGCGAACAGG
This 254-nucleotide ribosomal RNA is filed under the name uncultured bacterium. RNAcentral's name for it is "partial 16S ribosomal RNA". It matches the Rfam family "Bacterial small subunit ribosomal RNA", at positions 524 to 776 of the family's 1533-position model. The record is from RNAcentral.